Molecule: small nucleolar RNA, 145 nt
Organism: Apodemus sylvaticus (European woodmouse)
Lineage: Eukaryota; Metazoa; Chordata; Mammalia; Rodentia; Muridae
Product: small nucleolar RNA SNORA48
Exons: 1
Source: RefSeq, a predicted model, not a curated record
UCCCCCUGACAAUGGGCAAAGAAAACAUCUUUUUGGUGGCGUUGUUCUUAUAUCAGUCAGGGGCAGAGCAGACGGCAGGCCUUUGUUCAUCCUAGUUUGAUGCCUGGUUUGCUGGCCAAAGCUCUGUAAUGCCUAGGACCCAUAA